RNAcentral lists this transfer RNA (87 nucleotides) under Posidoniimonas corsicana. RNAcentral describes it as "Planctomycetes bacterium KOR34 tRNA-Leu". It matches the Rfam family "tRNA". From Rfam's summary of the family: Transfer RNA (tRNA) molecules are approximately 80 nucleotides in length. Their secondary structure includes four short double-helical elements and three loops (D, anti-codon, and T loops). The record is from RNAcentral. Lineage: Bacteria; Pseudomonadati; Planctomycetota; Planctomycetia; Pirellulales; Lacipirellulaceae.
GGCCGCGUGGCGGAAUUGGCAGACGCAGCAGACUUAAAAUCUGCCGGGGGGUAACCCCCGUGGGGGUUCGAGUCCCCCCGCGGCCAC